UCUACCGAUCCUAUGUGAGAGGAUGUUGCUGCUGCUAUUAUUUAUCUUUUGCUGAAGUUUCGUCUGCGAUGCUUCUAGAACCUUCUAUACUGAUGCUGAUGGGAACGUUCAAGAUACCUCCGGCACGUGCGACGUCUUAUCUUGGCCGCUGUUUCGUCUGUCCGGCUAUCUUAAUGAUGCCAUGUCUUAAUCUCGUAGUUUCCCACCGACACUACAUGAGCAAAUGUCCCCUGACCGUCGCGCAGAAUGUCGUGGUGGGCGGUCGCGCAUGCAACGCAGUGCGCGCCUGCGGUUGUCCCAUUGAUCCGCCGAUUUCUUGAUCGUGCAGCACGCGUUGUUCGUGCUCUUCAAUAAAGUCUUCCUCCUCUGAGUAUUUGUGUGUGGGCUUCGUUUACUAUUGUUGAGGGUGGUGUGAAGUGGAUAAGUUUCGCGUACGUUCGUUUUAUACGCAUUCCGGUUUUCUUGAAUUAUGAACACUGAGGCGACUAUGUCUUUGGCAUCUGAUCCAGUUGUAGAACGCAAGAAGAAGGAGAGGGAGAGAAAAUCACGUAAGAGAUACGUGAAUGGUUCACGAAGACGAUACAGAUGACUGUGCGAAGAUUCGCUUUCCUGAAGAGAAGUCCUGGAUGAUCAUUUGCGUCAUCAUUCUUCUAGUCAGGGAAGAAUUUCCCCUGUUGUACGUUCUUGGUGUAUGGACAAGUUUCGCGAAAUGUAUCCUGACGUUCCAUGUGUUGAUUUUGAUUUUGUUUGACAAUAAUAUUUUGUUUAUCUAUAUAUC
Molecule: long non-coding RNA, 778 nt
Organism: Bombus impatiens (common eastern bumble bee)
Lineage: Eukaryota; Metazoa; Arthropoda; Insecta; Hymenoptera; Apidae
Exons: 2
Source: RefSeq, a predicted model, not a curated record